CAUUAUGAAUACCCGGGAUGCCCUUUUGGGUUUCCGAUCAAAAACCACUCUGUGUACCAAUCCAUGUUGCUUCCACAGGCUAAGAGAUAGGGCACCUGUGGAAAGAUCCCACCUCAACUAAGUUAUUGAUCACGCUGUCUGACCCGGCAGAGUGCCGGAUUUGUUAUGUAACUGAAAACUUUCAACAACGGAUCUCUUGGCUCUCGCAUCGAUGAAGAACGCAGCGAAAUGCGAUAAGUAAUGUGAAUUGCAGAAUUCAGUGAGUCAUCGAAUGUUUGAACGCACAUGGCGCCCUUUGGCAUUCCUUAGGGCAUACCUGUUCGAGCGUCACUACAAACCCCCUCACAGAUAAUGUGGUCUUGGUAGGAGUGGACUGCUUGCGCAUGAGAAUAUGCUAGCGAGAUACUCUGCUGAAAUUCAUAGGGUGGGUACCUGGUAUGAGUAACAGACUUUAUAAAUGUCUACAGGACAAGGAAGGGUCAGUACCGUGCUCGGUCACGACCAUCAUUACCCCCAAUCCCAGAUCAAUUAUGUGUGACCUCAAAUCAGGUAAGGAUACCCGCUGAACUUAAGCAUAU
This 578-nucleotide small RNA is filed under the name Tuber petrophilum. RNAcentral describes it as "eukaryotic LSU rRNA". The stretch from base 177 to 330 matches the Rfam family "5.8S ribosomal RNA". The record is from RNAcentral. Lineage: Eukaryota; Fungi; Ascomycota; Pezizomycetes; Pezizales; Tuberaceae.